ACUUCUCAACCCCGCCUAUUCAUUUAGGUAGCUUGGGCUUGGAUCAUGAUUGUUGCUCUUUCCUUUUGUGAAAGAGCUCAGUUGAAAUACAACAAGUUGGAUGGACGUACAGUUACCGCUUGACCUGAUGUUGUAGAAACACUUCGUCGGGGAUGGUAAUCUGAAGGUGCAAUGAACUUUAACAGACCUUAAUUGACACUAUUAGAUUAGUGCAUU
This 216-nucleotide unclassified non-coding RNA is filed under the name Kondoa phyllada. Its description in RNAcentral is "ITS 2". Lineage: Eukaryota; Fungi; Basidiomycota; Agaricostilbomycetes; Agaricostilbales; Kondoaceae. The record is from RNAcentral.